UACAGAGGUCUCAAGCGUUGUUCGGAUUCAUUGGGCGUAAAGGGUGUGUAGGUGGCGCGCUAAGUCGGGUGUGAAAUUUCGGAGCUUAACUCCGAAACUGCAUUCGAUACUGGCGUGCUUGAGGACUGGAGAGGAGACUGGAAUUCAUGGUGUAGCAGUGAAAUGCGUAGAGAUCAUGAGGAAGACCAGUGGCGAAGGCGGUUCUCUGGGACGGUACUGACGCUGAGACGCGAAAGCGUGGGGAGCGAACAGG
RNAcentral lists this ribosomal RNA (253 nucleotides) under uncultured bacterium. RNAcentral describes it as "partial 16S ribosomal RNA". It matches the Rfam family "Bacterial small subunit ribosomal RNA", at positions 524 to 776 of the family's 1533-position model. The record is from RNAcentral.